Molecule: ribosomal RNA, 253 nt
Filed under: uncultured bacterium
Lineage: Bacteria
Description: partial 16S ribosomal RNA
Rfam family: Bacterial small subunit ribosomal RNA
Source: RNAcentral
UACGAAGGGAGCGAGCGUUAUUCGGAAUCACUGGGCUUAAAGCGUGCGUAGGCGGAUUUAUAAGUCAGAAGUGAAAGCCCGGGGCUUAACCCCGGAACUGCUUUUGAGACUGUAAGUCUAGAAUUCGGUAGAGGUUAGUGGAAUGUCCAGUGUAGAGGUGAAAUUCGCAGAUAUUGGACGGAACACCAGUGGCGAAGGCGACUAACUGGGCCGAUAUUGACGCUGAGGUACGAAAGCGUGGGUAGCAAACAGG